RNAcentral lists this transfer RNA (86 nucleotides) under Eubacterium sp. RNAcentral's name for it is "tRNA-Ser". It matches the Rfam family "tRNA". Rfam says of the family: Transfer RNA (tRNA) molecules are approximately 80 nucleotides in length. Their secondary structure includes four short double-helical elements and three loops (D, anti-codon, and T loops). Lineage: Bacteria; Bacillati; Bacillota; Clostridia; Eubacteriales; Eubacteriaceae. RNAcentral also lists the same sequence under 1 other name. The record is from RNAcentral.
GGAGAAGUAUCGAAGUGGUCAUAACGAGAACGACUCGAAAUCGUUUGGGCUUCACGGCCCCAUGGGUUCGAAUCCCAUCUUCUCCG